GUAACAUCACAAAAUGGUUCCAUCCUACCAGCUCUCUGGUAUUGUGCUUCAUGGUUGAUGCAACAAUGAAGGAAAUGCUAGCUUUACUGAACUGCAUUUCCCCUCCAUGGAGAUGAUCUCAAGGCCUAUAGAUACUAUGGACUUAAACCAGUUUAAUAGUGGUUUCUCUUUUCCAUAGAAUUCUGGGAACUGUUACUUUUUUAUGGGAUAGUUGCACAUAUCUCAUUGACAUCUGAGUAUCUCUUGCACAGAGGUUAUGUUACAUAAGAAAUAUUGUUAGGAAUAAGUCUUAUUGCUCAUGUCAUACCUAUGCUACUUCUCUUAAUGAAACUGAAAGUGGUUUUUCUGCAAGAAAGAAAGAAAGAAGGAAGGAAGGAAGGAAAGAAAGAAAGAAAGAAGCCUCCACCUUUCUUAUGAUUUCCAUUUUGGUGACCAAGCUUACAGACCUAUGCUCUUGGAAAAAAACCACACACAAUAUACUAGGAAGAGCUGUUCUGGGAAGAAAGGUGAUGUUAUAGUAGAAGAAAAAGUAGCAGCUGUAGUAGUAGACAAUUAUACCCUCCUGCUGUGUUCUCUAGCUACUGAUACUGAAAGACAUAUUGCCUCUGAUACUGAAGAUUAUACACUACAGUAAUCACGUCUAACACCCAAUAAAACGUAUCC
Molecule: long non-coding RNA, 663 nt
Organism: Sceloporus undulatus (fence lizard)
Lineage: Eukaryota; Metazoa; Chordata; Lepidosauria; Squamata; Phrynosomatidae
Exons: 3
Source: RefSeq, a predicted model, not a curated record